This 1332-nucleotide long non-coding RNA is filed under the name Homo sapiens (human). RNAcentral's name for it is "HSALNT0372092". The record is from RNAcentral. Lineage: Eukaryota; Metazoa; Chordata; Mammalia; Primates; Hominidae.
CGGCGCGCCAGAGCGCAGGACUUCCUGGGAGGCAGUCGAGGAGCCCUGGCUUUACAAAGAAAAGCAAAUGAAAGAUGCACUGCGAGAGGCGGGAGGAAGAAACCCUGAGUCUCCCGAGACUCAAAGUUCUCCUGCAGAAUAGAAGCCGAAUAUGACUGAGUUGAGAGAGUCGGAGGGAAGGGGAGUUGAUUUAAUGGACUCGGAUGGCCAUGGCAGUUUCUCUUCCAUUCUUCGGCCACACACACAGAAGCGCAAACUAUGUUUCAGGCGGAGUUUCGAUCUUGUCGCCCAGGCUGCAAUGCAAUGCUGCGAUCUCGGCUCACUGCAACCUCCGCCUCUCGGGUUCAAGCAAUUAUCCUGCCUCAGCCUCCUGAGUAGCUGGGACUACAGGCGCCCACCACCAUGCCCGGCUAAUUUUUGUAUUUUUAGUAGAGACGGGGUUUCACCAUAUUAGCCAGGCUGGUCUCGAACUCCUGACCUCAGAUGAUCUGCUCCCCUCGGCCUAGCUACAUCUUAUUAAUAAGCAUAAACUAAUUUUAUCUCAACAGUAAAGAUAUUUUCAAUAGGAAAAAAAGAAAAAAAAUGAUGUAUAUGAAGACUAAUAACGAGGGGGAAAGCAGGGAAAAAACGUAAGUAUAGUAUGAUUACCACUAAACAAAGAUAAAUGCAUAAUAAGGUAGGGGUUCAGGAGGGAAACCUGAAGGAAAUACCCCAAAAUACUGGCACUAGUGAUGUCAGGAUCAUGAAUUUACUGGUGUUUUUGCUUUGUUUUCCAGAGUUUCAGCUGUGUGAUUCUAUUACUCAAAUAAUGAAAUACACAUAUAUAUUUACACAUGUAUUCAAUACAUAUAUACAUAUAUUCAAUACAUAUAUAUGAAAUACAAAUGUAUGUGUAUAUAUGUGUGUAUUUCAUUAUUUAAGUAAUAGAAUCAUUUAAGUAAUAGAAUCACACUACUGAAACUCUGGAAAACAGGGCAAAAUAGAACAGAAUCACAGGACUUUAUAUAUAUAUAUAUGUUUAUAUAUAUAUGUCUAUAUAUAUAUGUCUAUACAUAUAUAUAAAGCUAAAUAAUGCCUUUUUAAAACAAAUUACCUACUUCCUAGCAGAUAGUGUUUUAUAUGCUCCAGAGCUGUUUGCAAUUAUUGCUAACAAUGAUUUCAUUCAAUCCAUCAUUUACUGAGAGCCAUAUCCCAGCCUCCAGGAGGAAACAAAAUAAAUGAGAUAAAGUCCCGUCCUCAUUAUGUCCCUUGAUAAUAACAAUGGUGGUGGUUCUCCCAUUGUAAAUCAGUGUGAGCAUUAAGGGUCACUGUAUCAGUCAGGAUGCCACCAGG